ACCCGCUGAACUUAAGCAUAUCAAUAAGCGGAGGAAAAGAAACCAACAGGGAUUGCCUCAGUAACGGCGAGUGAAGCGGCAUGAGCUCAAAUUUGAAAUCUGGCUCCUUUGGGGCCCGAGUUGUAAUUUGUAGAGGAUGCUUUGGUGUCUGCCCUGGCCUAAGUUCCUUGGAACAGGAUGUCACAGAGGGUGAGAACCCCGUUCGUGGCCGCCGGCCUUCACCAUGUAAAGCACCUUCGACGAGUCGAGUUGUUUGGGAAUGCAGCUCUAAAUGGGAGGUAAAUUUCUCCUAAAGCUAAAUAUUGGCCAGAGACCGAUAGCGCACAAGUAGAGUGAUCGAAAGAUGAAAAGCACUUUGGAAAGAGAGUCAAAAAGCACGUGAAAUUGUUGAAAGGGAAGCGCUUGCAGCCAGACCUGCCUGUGGUUGUUCACUCGAACCUGUGUUUGAUGUACUCUUCCACGGGCAGGCCAGCAUCAGUCUGGGCGGUUGGAUAAAGGCUUUUGGGAAUGUAGCUCGCUUCGGGGAGUGUUAUAGCCCAAGGUGCCAUGCAGCCAGCUCAGACUGAGGCCUGCGCAUCUGCUAGGAUGCUGGCGUAAUGGCUGUAACGGCCCGUCUUGAAACACGGACC
RNAcentral lists this ribosomal RNA (629 nucleotides) under Megatomentella cristata. Its description in RNAcentral is "LSU rRNA". It matches the Rfam family "Eukaryotic large subunit ribosomal RNA", at positions 23 to 667 of the family's 3401-position model. The record is from RNAcentral. Lineage: Eukaryota; Fungi; Ascomycota; Dothideomycetes; Pleosporales.